Molecule: ribosomal RNA, 253 nt
Filed under: uncultured bacterium
Lineage: Bacteria
Description: partial 16S ribosomal RNA
Rfam family: Bacterial small subunit ribosomal RNA
Source: RNAcentral
UACAGAGAUGGCAAGCGUUGUUCGGAAUCACUGGGCUUAAAGCGCGUGUAGGCGGAGCGAUAGGCGCCUUGUGAAAUCCCUCGGCUCAACCGAGGAACUGCUUGGCGAACCGGCGCUCUUGAGGCAGGUAGAGGUCACUGGAACCAUAGGUGGAGCGGUGAAAUGCGUAGAGAUCUAUGGGAACGCCGGUGGCGAAAGCGAGUGACUGGGCCUGUUCUGACGCUGAGACGCGAAAGCGUGGGUAGCAAACAGG